This 723-nucleotide ribosomal RNA is filed under the name uncultured beta proteobacterium. Its description in RNAcentral is "bacterial SSU rRNA". It matches the Rfam family "Bacterial small subunit ribosomal RNA", at positions 62 to 776 of the family's 1533-position model. Lineage: Bacteria; Pseudomonadati; Pseudomonadota; Betaproteobacteria. The record is from RNAcentral.
UCGAACGGCAGCAUAGAGAGCUUGCUCUCUGAUGGCGAGUGGCGAACGGGUGAGUAAUACAUCGGAACGUGUCCGUUUGUGGGGGACAACCACCCGAAAGGGUGGCUAAUACCGCAUAAGACCUGAGGGUGAAAGCCGGGGACCGCAAGGCCUGGCGCGAACGGAGCGGCCGAUGACUGAUUAGCUGGUUGGCGGGGUAAAGGCCCACCAAGGCGACGAUCAGUAGCUGGUCUGAGAGGACGACCAGCCACACUGGAACUGAGACACGGUCCAGACUCCUACGGGAGGCAGCAGUGGGGAAUUUUGGACAAUGGGGGCAACCCUGAUCCAGCCAUGCCGCGUGCGGGAAGAAGGCCUUCGGGUUGUAAACCGCUUUUGUCAGGGACGAAAAGGUGCGGGUUAAGAGCUAGCACUGAUGACGGUACCUGAAGAAUAAGCACCGGCUAACUACGUGCCAGCAGCCGCGGUAAUACGUAGGGUGCGAGCGUUAAUCGGAAUUACUGGGCGUAAAGCGUGCGCAGGCGGUUGGGUAAGACAGAUGUGAAAUCCCCGGGCUUAACCUGGGAACUGCAUUUGUGACUGUCCGACUGGAGUAUGUCAGAGGGGGGUGGAAUUCCAAGUGUAGCAGUGAAAUGCGUAGAUAUUUGGAAGAACACCGAUGGCGAAGGCAGCCCCCUGGGGCAAAACUGACGCUCAUGCACGAAAGCGUGGGGAGCAAACAGG